AGUGAACGCUGGCGGUAGGCCUAACACAUGCAAGUCGAACGGCAGCACAGUAAGAGCUUGCUCUUACGGGUGGCGAGUGGCGGACGGGUGAGGAAUACAUCGGAAUCUACUUUUUCGUGGGGGAUAACGUAGGGAAACUUACGCUAAUACCGCAUACGACCUACGGGUGAAAGCAGGGGAUCUUCGGACCUUGCGCGAUUGAAUGAGCCGAUGUCGGAUUAGUUAGUUGGCGGGGUAAAGGCCCACCAAGGCGACGAUCCGUAGCUGGUCUGAGAGGAUGAUCAGCCACACUGGAACUGAGACACGGUCCAGACUCCUACGGGAGGCAGCAGUGGGGAAUAUUGGACAAUGGGCGCAAGCCUGAUCCAGCCAUACCGCGUGGGUGAAGAAGGCCUUCGGGUUGUAAAGCCCUUUUGUUGGGAAAGAAAAGCAGCAGGUUAAUACCCCGCUGUUCUGACGGUACCCAAAGAGUAAGCACCGGCUAACUUCGUG
This 492-nucleotide ribosomal RNA is filed under the name uncultured bacterium. RNAcentral's name for it is "partial 16S ribosomal RNA". It matches the Rfam family "Bacterial small subunit ribosomal RNA", at positions 29 to 507 of the family's 1533-position model. The record is from RNAcentral.